This 468-nucleotide ribosomal RNA is filed under the name uncultured bacterium. RNAcentral's name for it is "partial 16S ribosomal RNA". It matches the Rfam family "Bacterial small subunit ribosomal RNA", at positions 28 to 507 of the family's 1533-position model. The record is from RNAcentral.
GACGAACGCUGGCGGCGUGCUUAACACAUGCAAGUCGAACGGAAAGGCCCUGCUUUUGUGUGAUGCUCGAGUGGCGAACGGGUGAGUAACCCGUGAGUAACCUGCCCUUGACUUUGGGAUAACUUCAGGAAACUGGGGCUAAUACCGGAUAUGAGCUCCUGCGGCAUGGUGGGGGUUGGCACGUUGCGGCGGUUGGGGAUGGACUCGCGGCUUAUCAGCGUGUUGGUGGGGUAGUGGCUGCCCAAGGCUUUGACGGGUAGCCGGCCUGAGAGGGUGACCGGGCACAUUGGGACUGAGGUACGGACCAGAGUGCAACGGGAGGCAGCAGGGGGGAAUAUUGCACAAUGGGCGGAAGCCUAAGGCAGCAACGCCGCGGGCGGGAUGACGGUCUUCGGGUUGUAAACCGCUUUCGCCUGUGACGAAGCGUGAGUGACGGUAAUGGGUAAAGAAGCACCGGCUAACUACGUG